This is a long non-coding RNA of Carassius carassius (crucian carp), 859 nucleotides long. RefSeq lists it as uncharacterized. Lineage: Eukaryota; Metazoa; Chordata; Actinopteri; Cypriniformes; Cyprinidae. The transcript is spliced from 3 exons. The record is from RefSeq and is a predicted model, not a curated record.
UGAAACAAGAAACAGCAUUGUUCAGUCACAUACGAGAUUCAUAUCAUACAUACAGUUUUUGGGAAAGUUCAGUAUGUUUCUGAGUGGACUCCUGCUGCUCUUUCUGCUUCCUGAUUGGACAGAAAGUGCUGGUUGAGACUGUGGACAUCAGUACUCUAGCACGUAUUAUUGAUUUCUUCGAGCAAAACUAUAAGAGAGUCGAUGGAGAUAAACAUCCUCGUCAGUAUGCUACGGCCAUCAACGUGCCAAAGAAUCAGUGUCAGCAGAACUUCAUUCCUUCACAGAACAGCUUCCUGACUCAAGAGGAUGCUGCAAAUGUGAAAAAUGCUAUUACUGAUGACACUAAGGCACUUUACCAAGGUGCAGAACUCAUCGCUGCAGGAACCAAAAAGGUUGUGAUUAAAAAGAAGAAUUACAACAUUCAUUCAGAGUCUCUUCUGCUGAAUCCUGCUGACAACUCAGCCAUGACCAAACUAUUAAAUAAAAGAAAAGACGGCUGCUCGGUUUUCUACACAUUUGAAUCUCCCUGUGUUGACUCGUGUCUGAAUGCGUCAAGGGACCACAACAUUUUAAAAGGCAUGGAGAACUGGAAAAAACACAGAGGAAUUAAAGCUUUUGUUUUUAAGAAUAUCUGGAAGCGUGACCUUGAAAAAAAUCUUUCGACUAUAUUAAAGCAGAUCGUGGCUCAUGUUCCUCUCUACCGCUGUGUGAGAGAGAAUCAGUGUUAUGCUUGUAAAGGGGAAGGAAACACCCCCAUAGACGCACACUGUCUGCCUCCAAAAAAGACCAGAGAUGAAUUGUAAAAGUUCUGUGAGUCUGUAUUAAGAUCUGCUGUCUUUUGUGCUAUUGAUUUUGAAAA